AUUGAACGCUGGCGGCAUGCUUUACACAUGCAAGUCGAACGGUAACAGGUUAAGCUGACGAGUGGCGAACGGGUGAGUAAUGCAUCGGAACGUGCCCGAUCGUGGGGGAUAACGCAGCGAAAGCUGCGCUAAUACCGCAUACGAUCUGAGGAUGAAAGCGGGGGACCGUAAGGCCUCGCGCGAUCGGAGCGGCCGAUGGCAGAUUGGGUAGUUGGUGGGGUAAAGGCCCACCAAGCCGGCGAUCUGUAGCUGGUCUGAGAGGACGACCAGCCACACUGGGACUGGUACACGGCCCAGACUCCUACGGGAGGCAGCAGUGGGGAAUUUUGGACAAUGGGCGAAAGCCUGAUCCAGCAAUUCCGCGUGCAGGAAGAAGGCCUUCGGGUUGUAAACUGCUUUUGUACGGAGCGAAAAGGUCCUUUCUAAUACAGGGGGCUCAUGACGGUACCGUAAGAAUAAGCACCGGCUAACUACGUGCCAGCCGCCGCAGUAA
RNAcentral lists this ribosomal RNA (493 nucleotides) under uncultured bacterium. RNAcentral describes it as "partial 16S ribosomal RNA". It matches the Rfam family "Bacterial small subunit ribosomal RNA", at positions 30 to 523 of the family's 1533-position model. The record is from RNAcentral.